This 67-nucleotide transfer RNA is filed under the name Eupristina verticillata. Its description in RNAcentral is "tRNA-Leu". The record is from RNAcentral. Lineage: Eukaryota; Metazoa; Arthropoda; Insecta; Hymenoptera; Agaonidae.
UCUAAUAUGGCAGAAUAGUGCAAUAAAUUUAAGCUUUAUAUAUGUAAAUUUUAAUUUACUAUUAGAA